This 497-nucleotide ribosomal RNA is filed under the name uncultured bacterium. Its description in RNAcentral is "partial 16S ribosomal RNA". It matches the Rfam family "Bacterial small subunit ribosomal RNA", at positions 28 to 507 of the family's 1533-position model. The record is from RNAcentral.
GAUGAACGCUGGCGGCGUGCCUAAUACAUGCAAGUCGAGCGAACGGACGAGAAGCUUGCUUUUCUGAUGUUAGCGGCGGACGGGUGAGUAACACGUGGAUAACCUACCUAUAAGACUGGGAUAACUUCGGGAAACCGGAGCUAAUACCGGAUAAUAUUUUGAACCGCAUGGUUCAAAAGUGAAAGACGGUCUUGCUGUCACUUAUAGAUGGAUCCGCGCUACAUUAGCUAGUUGGUAAGGUAACGGCUUACCAAGGCAACGAUGCAUAGCCGACCUGAGAGGGUGAUCGGCCACACUGGAACUGAGACACGGUCCAGACUCCUACGGGAGGCAGAAGUAGGGAAUCUUCAGCAAUGGGCGAAAGCCUGACGGAGCAACGCCGCGUGAGUGAUGAAGGUCUUCGGAUCGUAAAACUCUAUUAUUAGGGAAGAACAUAUGUGUAAGUAACUGUGCACAUCUUGACGGUACCUAAUCAGAAAGCCACGGCUAACUACGUG